GAUGAAGAACGCAGCGAAAUGCGAUAAGUAGUGUGAAUUGCAGAAUUCAGUGAAUCAUCGAAUCUUUGAACGCACAUUGCGCCCUUUGGUAUUCCAAAGGGCAUGCCUGUUCGAGCGUCAUUUGUACCCUCAAGCUUUGCUUGGUGUUGGGCGUCUUGUCUCUAGCUUUGCUGGAGACUCGCCUUAAAGUAAUUGGUAGCCGGCCUACUGGUUUCGGAGCGCAGCACAAGUCGCACUCUCUAUCAGCAAAGGUCUAGCAUCCAUUAAGCCUUUUUUUCAACUUUUGACCUCGGAUCAGGUAGGGAUACCCGCUGAACUUAAGCAUAUCAAUAAGCGGAGGA
RNAcentral lists this unclassified non-coding RNA (341 nucleotides) under soil metagenome. RNAcentral's name for it is "partial contains 5.8S ribosomal RNA, internal transcribed spacer 2, and large subunit ribosomal RNA". The stretch from base 1 to 120 matches the Rfam family "5.8S ribosomal RNA", at positions 35 to 154 of the family's 154-position model. The record is from RNAcentral.